AACGAACGCUGGCGGCAGGCUUAACACAUGCAAGUCGAACGCGUGUAGCAAUACACGAGUGGCGCACGGGUGAGUAACGCGUGGAUAUCUGCCUUUUGGUUCGGAAUAACUCCGGGAAACUGGAGCUAAUACCGGAUGGUUCCUUCGGGAUAAAGAUUUAUCGCCAAAAGAUGAGUCCGCGUACGAUUAGCUAGUUGGUGAGGUAAAGGCUCACCAAGCCGACGAUCCUUAGCUGGUCUGAGAGGAUGAUCAGCCACACUGGGACUGAGACACGGCCCAGACUCCUACGGGAGGCAGCAGUGGGGAAUAUUGGACAAUGGGCGCAAGCCUGAUCCAGCAAUGCCGCGUGAGUGAUGAAGGCCUUCGGGUCGUAAAGCUCUUUUACCCGGGAUGAUAAUGACAGUACCGGGAGAAUAAGCUCCGGCUAACUCCGUGCCAGCCGCCGCCGUAA
This 451-nucleotide ribosomal RNA is filed under the name uncultured bacterium. RNAcentral's name for it is "partial 16S ribosomal RNA". It matches the Rfam family "Bacterial small subunit ribosomal RNA", at positions 29 to 523 of the family's 1533-position model. The record is from RNAcentral.